RNAcentral lists this ribosomal RNA (253 nucleotides) under uncultured bacterium. RNAcentral describes it as "partial 16S ribosomal RNA". It matches the Rfam family "Bacterial small subunit ribosomal RNA", at positions 524 to 776 of the family's 1533-position model. The record is from RNAcentral.
UACAGAGGGUGCAAGCGUUAAUCGGAAUUACUGGGCGUAAAGCGCGCAUAGGUGGUUCGUUAAGUUGGAUGUGAAAUCCCCGGGCUCAACCUGGGAACUGCAUUCAAAACUGUCGAGCUAGAGUAUGGUAGAGGGUGGUGGAAUUUCCUGUGUAGCGGUGAAAUGCGUAGAUAUAGGAAGGAACACCAGUGGCGAAGGCGACCACCUGGACUGAUACUGACACUGAGGUGCGAAAGCGUGGGGAGCAAACAGG